Molecule: ribosomal RNA, 446 nt
Filed under: uncultured bacterium
Lineage: Bacteria
Description: bacterial SSU rRNA
Rfam family: Bacterial small subunit ribosomal RNA
Source: RNAcentral
UCCCAGACUCCUACGGGAGGCAGCAGUCGGGAAUAUUGCGCAAUGGAGGAAACUCUGACGCAGUGACGCCGCGUAUAGGAAGAAGGUUUUCGGAUUGUAAACUAUUGUCGUGAGGGAAGAAAUUGACAGUACCUCAGGAGGAAGCUCCGGCUAACUAUGUGCCAGCAGCCGCGGUAAUACGUAGGGGGCAAGCGUUAUCCGGAUUUACUGGGUGUAAAGGGAGCGUAGACGGCAGCGCAAGUCUGAAGUGAAAUCCCAUGGCUUAACCAUGGAACUGCUUUGGAAACUGUGCAGCUGGAGUGCAGGAGAGGUAAGCGGAAUUCCUAGUGUAGCGGUGAAAUGCGUAGAUAUUAGGAGGAACACCAGUGGCGAAGGCGGCUUACUGGACUGUAACUGACGUUGAGGCUCGAAAGCGUGGGGAGCAAACAGGAUUAGAUACCCCAGUA